UGGGGAAUCUUGCGCAAUGGACGAAAGUCUGACGCAGCGACGCCGCGUGGGUGAUGAAGGCCUUCGGGUUGUAAAGCCCUGUGGGGAGAGACGAAUAAGUCGGCGCUAACAUCGCCGGCGAUGACGGUAUCUCCUUAGCAAGCACCGGCUAACUCUGUGCCAGCAGCCGCGGUAAGACAGAGGGUGCAAACGUUGUUCGGAAUUACUGGGCGUAAAGCGUGUGUAGGCGGCUACGCAAGUCGGAUGUGAAAUCCCCGGGCUCAACCCGGGAAGUGCACCCGAAACUGCGUGGCUUGAGUACCGGAGAGGUUGGUGGAAUUCUCGGUGUAGAGGUGAAAUUCGUAGAUAUCGAGAGGAACACCGGUGGCGAAGGCGGCCAACUGGACGAGUACUGACGCUGAGACACGAAAGCGUGGGGAGCAAACA
RNAcentral lists this ribosomal RNA (426 nucleotides) under uncultured Myxococcales bacterium. RNAcentral describes it as "partial 16S ribosomal RNA". It matches the Rfam family "Bacterial small subunit ribosomal RNA", at positions 355 to 774 of the family's 1533-position model. Lineage: Bacteria; Pseudomonadati; Myxococcota; Myxococcia; Myxococcales. The record is from RNAcentral.